This 435-nucleotide ribosomal RNA is filed under the name uncultured bacterium. RNAcentral describes it as "partial 16S ribosomal RNA". It matches the Rfam family "Bacterial small subunit ribosomal RNA", at positions 29 to 507 of the family's 1533-position model. The record is from RNAcentral.
AGCGAACGCUGGCGGCAGGCUUAACACAUGCAAGUCGAGCGGGCAUCUUCGGAUGUCAGCGGCAGACGGGUGAGUAACACGUGGGAACGUACCCUUCGGUUCGGAACAACUCUGGGAAACUGGAGCUAAUACCGGAUACGCCCUUAUGGGGAAAGGUUUACUGCCGAAGGAUCGGCCCGCGUCUGAUUAGCUAGUUGGUGGGGUAACGGCCUACCAAGGCGACGAUCAGUAGCUGGUCUGAGAGGAUGAUCAGCCACACUGGGACUGAGACACGGCCCAGACUCCUACGGGAGGCAGCAGUGGGGAAUAUUGGACAAUGGGCGCAAGCCUGAACCAGCCAUGCCGCGUGAGUGAUGAAGGCCGUAGGGUUGUAAAGCUCUUUUGUCCGGGACGAUAAUGACGGUACCGGAAGAAUAAGCCCCGGCUAACUUCGUG